AAGUCGUAACAAGGUUUCCGUAGGUGAACCUGCGGAAGGAUCAUUAACAGGGUUAGAAAACAAGCACAGUGCACCAACAGGGGAGACGACUCAAGAAAUUUCUAAAGGUUAUAGUAAAUAAAAAAACAACUUUUGGCAACGGAUCUCUAGGCUCUC
RNAcentral lists this unclassified non-coding RNA (156 nucleotides) under fungal sp. RNAcentral describes it as "partial internal transcribed spacer region". The stretch from base 1 to 46 matches the Rfam family "Eukaryotic small subunit ribosomal RNA", at positions 1786 to 1831 of the family's 1831-position model. Lineage: Eukaryota; Fungi. The record is from RNAcentral.